GCCGAUUCCUUUGCAGUCUUCCUUGUCUCUGACAUAGCAAAGCUGGUUCCUUUGCUUUCUACACUCUUUACUUUUAUUUAUUAUUGUGGCAUGACACAUGUGGAGGUCAGAAGACAACUUUGAGGAAUUGUUUCUUUCCUUCUGUCUUUACAGGGGUCCCAGAGAUUCACUGAGGUGUCCUGCCAGGCCCUCCACCUUAACUUUGUGAGACAAGGUCUCUCACUGGACCUGGAGCUCCAACUUUGACUAAACUGAUUGGCCAACACAUCCCAGGGAUACACCUGUCUCUCCUUCCCUGGAACUGGGACUACCGGUGUGAGCCAUGACCAGCUUUUAUACGUGGGUGCUAAGGAUCGAACUCAUGUCCUUAUGGUUGUGCAGCAAGCAUUUUACUGCCUGAGGUAUUUCUCCAGCCCAAGGAGUGGUUGUGCUGGGGUUCCAACCCAGGGUCUUACAGAUUCUGGGCAUUCAUUCUACCACUGAGCCCAUUUCCAGUUACUGGGACUUUUUAUUGUUUUUCUUUUGUGCUGGAGAAGGAAUUCAGGGCCUCACAAGUGUCCUACCACUGGGCUACAUCAUCAGCCUAGAAACCUUUUUUAAAAAAGAUUUAUUUAUGUAUGCGUAUGAUACUCUAUUUGUAUGCAUGCCUGCAUGACAGAUCCCAUUAUAGAUGGUUGUGAGCCACCAUGUGAUUGCUGGGAAUUGAACUCAGGACCUCUGGAAGAGCAGUCAGUGCUCUUAACCACUGAGCCAUCUCUCCAGCUCUCAGAAACCUGUUUUAAAGUUAAAAGAAUUUCUCAUUUUCUCAUUAGGGAUGUGUGUGCUGCAGUGGACGUGGUAAGCAUGUGCUAGAUCACAGAGAUACACGCCGCACUAGUUUACAAUACAUUCCCCCCACCCCGCCCUUCUCUCCUUUCCCCCUCCCCC
Molecule: long non-coding RNA, 927 nt
Filed under: Rattus norvegicus (Norway rat)
Lineage: Eukaryota; Metazoa; Chordata; Mammalia; Rodentia; Muridae
Description: long non-coding RNA NONRATT004940
Source: RNAcentral